CUGGGGUGGAUUAGUGGCGAACGGGUGAGUAACACGUGAGUAACCUGCCCUCUUCUUUGGGAUAACGGUCGGAAACGGCUGCUAAUACUGGAUAUUCACUCAUUGGCGCAUGUUGGUGGGUGGAAAGGUUUUUCUGGUGGGGGAUGGGCUCGCGGCCUAUCAGCUUGUUGGUGGGGUGAUGGCCUACCAAGGCUUUGACGGGUAACCGGCCUGAGAGGGUGACCGGUCACAUUGGGACUGAGAUACGGCCCAGACUCCUACGGGAGGCAGCAGUA
RNAcentral lists this ribosomal RNA (275 nucleotides) under uncultured Actinomyces sp. RNAcentral describes it as "partial 16S ribosomal RNA". It matches the Rfam family "Bacterial small subunit ribosomal RNA", at positions 82 to 355 of the family's 1533-position model. The record is from RNAcentral. Lineage: Bacteria; Bacillati; Actinomycetota; Actinomycetes; Actinomycetales; Actinomycetaceae.